This 253-nucleotide unclassified non-coding RNA is filed under the name uncultured Caryophanales bacterium. RNAcentral describes it as "uncultured Bacillales bacterium contains 16S-23S intergenic spacer region". It matches the Rfam family "Bacterial small subunit ribosomal RNA", at positions 524 to 776 of the family's 1533-position model. The record is from RNAcentral. Lineage: Bacteria; Bacillati; Bacillota; Bacilli; Caryophanales.
UACGGAGGGUGCAAGCGUUGUCCGGAUUUAUUGGGCGUAAAGCGAGCGCAGGCGGUCUUUUAAGUCUGAUGUGAAAGCCCACGGCUCAACCGUGGAGGGUCAUUGGAAACUGGGGAACUUGAGUACAGAAGAGGAGAGCGGAAUUCCACGUGUAGCGGUGAAAUGCGUAGAUAUGUGGAGGAACACCAGUGGCGAAGGCGGCUCUCUGGUCUGUAACUGACGCUGAGGCGCGAAAGCGUGGGUAGCAAACAGG